AUUGAACGCUGGCGGCAUGCUUUACACAUGCAAGUCGAACGGCAGCGCGGGCUUCGGCCUGGCGGCGAGUGGCGAACGGGUGAGUAAUACAUCGGAACGUGCCCAGUAGUGGGGGAUAGCUCGGCGAAAGCCGGAUUAAUACCGCAUACGACCUGAGGGUGAAAGCGGGGGAUCUUCGGACCUCGCGCUAUUGGAGCGGCCGAUGGCAGAUUAGCUAGUUGGUGGGGUAAAGGCCUACCAAGGCGACGAUCUGUAGCUGGUCUGAGAGGACGACCAGCCACACUGGACCUGAGACCCGGCCCAGACUCCUACGGGAGGCAGCAGUGGGAAAUUUUGGACAAUGGGCGAAAGCCUGAUCCAGCAAUGCCGCGUGUGUGAUGAAGGCCUUCGGGUUGUAAAGCACUUUUGGCGGGAACGAAAAGGACUGUGCCAAUACCACGGUUCGAUGACGGUACCCGCAGAAUAAGCACCGGCUAACUACGU
Molecule: ribosomal RNA, 483 nt
Filed under: uncultured bacterium
Lineage: Bacteria
Description: partial 16S ribosomal RNA
Rfam family: Bacterial small subunit ribosomal RNA
Source: RNAcentral